This 5795-nucleotide long non-coding RNA is filed under the name Mus musculus (house mouse). RNAcentral describes it as "long non-coding RNA chr12:21558382-21564177". The record is from RNAcentral. Lineage: Eukaryota; Metazoa; Chordata; Mammalia; Rodentia; Muridae.
ACAAAAUAAGAAUUAUAAAUGCUAAUUACACACUAAUAUUGGAUCAAGCUCUUAAUAUUUAUGAUAUUUCUGAAAUUAUAGAAUUGCAACUAAAGUCAAUUUUAAUACCUGAAAAUCAGGUUUAUUUUUAUUUUUAUUUUUUAUCUAUGCACUAUGAUGACAAAGGAUAAAACUCCAAUUUGAUCUGACAACUUCUCUCCUACUCUAUCUCUUAUUUUGGCAAAAAUUUGUAAUUUCUGAUUCAUAUCUUUUCCCUACUUAUAAGUGCUCUUUUUGCCUUAUCUUUUUUUUUUUUUCUUUUUUUCGAGACAGGGUUUCUCUGUAUAGCCCUGGUUGUCCUGGAACUCACUCUGUAGACCAGGCUGGCCUCGAACUCAGAAAUCCACCUCCUGAGUGCUGGGAUUAAAGGCGUGCGACACUACACCCGGCUAUUUUUUGUCUUAUCAAUGUCAUAGAAAUACACACCAAUAAGUUAUUCCUGUUUGGUAUUUGGAAUUACAAAAAUUGAAAUCUACAGGAUGUUGGUUACUGUAUUCUCUAGUAUGUAGUCAGAUAUAAUUGACAGCAAUAGAGUAUUGACAAUAUACAGACAGGCAGAACAUAUAUGAAUAUUUGAUGCUGAAGGCAGAGGGACAAAAAACAAGGUUGUGAGGGGACAAACAUGUUUUGCACUCCAGUUAAAUGUUACCACCUUAGACACACUUACUCUUCCUGUUAUUAAAUUCAGUACCUUAGGAGUCAUCUUAUAGCUUUAUUGCUUUGCCAAGAAUCGGUGAAGCUUAGUUUCUGUCAUUUACAACACGAGCUCUGCUUAUGCUGAUCAUUGUUAGUAGACUUCUUAUUGUCGUCGUGCUUACUACCACUGUGUACUACGUGCAACUUUAAGUGUGGUUCCUAUGGAGCAUGUGAAUGUUCCUUUGCUCCUUAGAAUUCAGUUCAGUUCAGACAGUGAAUAUCCAGUGACUUUUAUUAGGAAAUUCCCAUCAGUUAGAGAGAGAAGAAAGGUGGGAAUGGACCUGAAGGAGAACAUUAACCUGAACCAAAUAGUAUGCUACCAGCAGAGGCAAAUGCAAGGUGCUCGAAUGGCUGUUGUCUGGGGGCUUUGGAAAGUUUUAAGGUUUAAGUAAUCAGGAGCUUAUGAGCAGCUGGCAAGCAAGGAAAGCCCAAUGUCAAAGGUAGUAAUUUUAAGAUGUUAUGCCAGAAUUCAAGAAAGUAGUUCACAUUUGAAAGUAAAUUAUGAAUAUUACAAUAAUGCACAGACGUCUAUAUGUUACAUCUGUGCUGAUGGACACACAGCAAUGCAUACUCACACACAGGACCCUGAGCUAGUUUGAGAUAGUGAAGAGUGAGUGAGUGUGUAGAAGUUUGAGCUCAGUGAAAGUUGAGGCAUGUUCCUGUAUGGCAUGCUAAAGAUCUUGGAUGGUAAUUCAAUGGUAGUGUACGACACUUUACAAAGGAGCAUAACUGUAGGGGAAAAAGACACAGAGGGAGUCAAGUGUCUCAAACAGAAAGAUGACAGUGCUUGGUUUAGUACUUGGGACACAGAGUUAAGUAUAAGUAAAAUUAAAUUAAUUUUAAAAAAGUCAGGUUAGGCAACAAUAUGAGAUUUUGCUUUCAGUACCAUACCAACAUUGAUGUCAAUCAAUAUUAUAUAUGAGAUGCCAUCAAUUAAUGGAGCAAGUGGAGUUCUUUUUUAAAAAAUAUUUACUUAUUCAUUCUUUACAUUCCAAUGGCAGCCUUCUCUUUCUCCUCUUCCCAGUCUCAGAGAAGGAGACGCCCCUCUUAGGUACCAUCCUACCCUGGGACAUCCAGGUCCAAAAGGACUAAACACAUAUUCUCCCACUGAAGCCCAACAAGGCAGUCAGUUAAAGGAAGGGGAUCCAAUGGCAGGUAACAGAAAAAAGACAACCUCUGCUCUAAUUGUUAGGGCAACCACAUGAAGACCAAGCCACAUAAAUGUUACAAAUGUGUAAGGGACUAGGUCCAGCCCAUGCAUGCUCUUUGAGAACUCCCAUGGUCCUAGGUUAGGUGACUCUGUAGAUAUUCUUGUGGUCCUUUAACUUUAUUUCUUUGAUGCUUCCUCAAGUUUUCACAAGCUCCACCUGAUGUUCAGCUGUUGGUCUCUGGAUCGGAUUCCAUCAACUUCCAGAUGAAGCCUCUCAGAAGAUAGUUAUGCUAGCUUCUUCUUUGCUAGCAUAGCAGAGUAUCAUUAAUAGUGUCAGAGUGUUGGCUCUCUUCCUAGGGAUGGAUCUCAAGUUUGGACAGUACUUGGUUGGCCAUUCCCUCAGUCUUGGCUUAAUUUUUAUCCCUGUUUAUCUUGUAUGCAGGAAAAACUUGGGUUUGAAGGUUUUGUAGGUGGAAAGAUCUCCUAUGCUCAUGAACCAGUAGGAUUAACAUAGUAAAAAUGGCCAUUUUACCAAAAGAAAGCUUAGGUUCAAUAUAAUUCUUAUUAAAAUUCCACCACAAUUCUUUACAGACCUUGAAAGAGAAAUUCUUUACUUCAUAUGGAAAAAAAUAAAAAUGCAGGAUAGCUAAUGCAAUACUGAACAAGAAAAGCACUUUUGGAGGACCAUCUAUGAUUUCAAGCUAUACUAUAGAACAAUGGUAAUAAAAAACACAUGUUAUUGGCACAAGAAAGACAGUUUGAUCAAUGGAAUAUAAUUGAAGACCCAGAAAUAAACCCACACACCUAUGGACACUUUGUAUUUGACAAGGAAGCCCAAACCAUACAAUACAAAAGUGAAAGUAACUUCAACAAAUGCUGCUGGUGGAUAGCUGCAUUUAGAAGAAUGCAAAUAAGCCCACAUCUAUCAUUCUGCCCAACAGUAUGGUAAAAAUGAUCAGAAAACGAGAUACACUGAAUCUAACAGAAGAGAAAUUGGAGAACUGUCUUGAACAUAUUCUCACCGGAGACAAAUUCUUGAACAGAACAUUCUGAAACUAAGAUCAAAAAUUAAAAUGUUGGGCCUCAUGAAACUGAAAAGCUUCUGAAAGGUUAAAUACACCAUCGAUAGGACAAAACAGCAGCCUAUAGUUUGAGAAAAGAUCUUCAGCAACCCUACAUCUGACAACAGACAAUAUCUAAAUUAUAUAGAGAACUCAAGAAAUUAGACACCAACAAACUAAAAGCACAGUUUAAAAAUGGGAUGCAGAGCUAAACAGAGAAAUCUCCACAGAGGAAUCUCAAAUGGAUGAGAAACACUUAAAGAAAUGCUUAAUGUAUUUAGUCAUCAGGGAAAUAUAAAUCAAGAUGACUCUGAGAUUCCAUCUUACACCCAUCACAAUGGCUAAGGUCAAAAUCUAAAUCAACAGCACAUGCUGGCGAGGGUCUGGAGCUGGUGGAGGUGCAAACUUGUACAACCACUUUGGAAAUUAAUUUUGUGGUUUCUCAAAAAACUGGAAACAGUUCUACCCCAAGACUCAGCUAUACUACUCCUAGGCAUAUACUCAAAAGAUGCAUCACUAUAUACAACAAAGAUACUUGCUUAACGGUGCUCAUAGCAGUAAAUACCCAGAAACUGUAAACAAUCUAGAUGUCCUUCAAUUUAAGAAUAGAUAAAGAAAAUGUAGUUUAUCUACACAAUAUGAUACUAUUCAGCUAUGAAAAACAAGGGCAUCAUAACAUUUUCAGGUAAAUGGAUAGAUCUAGAAAGUAUCAUUCUGAGUGAGGUAACCCAGACCUAGAAAGACACAUAUGGUAUGUACUUACUUAUAAGUGGACAUUAGGGCUGGAGAGAUGGCUCAGCAGGUAAGAGCACUGACUGCUUUUCCGAAGGUCCUGAGUUCAAAUCCCAGCAACCACAUGGUGGCUCACAACCACCUGUAAUGAGAUCUAACGCCCUCUUCUGGUGCGUCUGAAGACAGCUACAGUGUACUUAUGUAUAAUAAAUAAAUCUUUGGGCCUGAGCAAGCGGAGUUGACCUGAGUGAGUAGGGUGACCAGAGAAGAACAGAGCAGAGGUCCUAAAAAUUCAAUUCCCAACAACCAUAUGAAGGCUCACAACCAUCUGUACAUGUAUUCAUAUACAUAAAAUAAAUAAAUAAAUCUUUAAAAAAAAAGUGGACAUUAGGUAUAAAGUGCAAGAUAACCAUGCUAUAAUCUACAGAUCUAAGGAAACUAAGAAAUAAGGAAGGCCCAAAGAGGAUGUGUGGAUGUCAUUCAAAGGAGAAAACAAAAUAGUCAUUGGAGGAGGAUAAAGUGAGGGAGCUAAGUAUGAGAGGACGUGAGGAGGUACACUGGCAUGCGGAUUGGAUGUGGGAAGAGUGGGGCGGGAGACAAUUGGGAGUGAGAAUAGAAAUUGGUGCAAGGCAUCUCUGAGCAAGUGGGUUUUUAAAUGACUAUGGAUAAAGAUAGUGUAUUCAACUGCUUUGGACAAGACAUCAAUUUUUGUGAAGGUUUAAAUUUGCUUCUACUUCAACAGAAAUGUAAAGAAUCACAUACCACUUUGAGCAGAGAUUAACAUAAGGUUAGAGUAAAUGUUAUAAAUCACUAAUAAUCAAACAGUAGUUGGCUUAAACUUUGCAAUUUAUAUAAGAAACUUCGGAGGAGCUCAACAGUUUGGUCAUUAAUCUAGAAUUGAUGCUAUCACUGAGGCGGUCAAAACAUCUUUGUUCAUGUGAAGGGGUUACUGAAUUCAGUGUUCCCCAUAAAGACAGUUUUUAUGUGGAACUGGAGGACAGCUAAAGAGCAGAGCCUCUGUGAAAACAGUACACUCUGCGAUGCUCUCAGCUGCACUGCAGUGAACAUGACCAGCACCUUGUGUGAGUUCCCACUUUGAGGCUGCUGAUCCCUCGGAGUCUGCAAGGGACUUCAUCAGGUCAACUGGCCAAUGAAUGUCUACUUUAAUAGUUAUAGAUGAGAAGGCUCCUAGGAUGAAGGAAUAUGGAAGAGGCUCUUUGUGCCCAAAUAUUGUAUAAUCAUAGAAAUGAUGCAAAAUGCCCAUGCUAGAAAUAGAUUCUAUAGGAGAAAAAAAAAAGGUUCUGGGGUUUUUGAAAUCAAUCUAAUCACAACAGAGUAUGGAAAUUUUGUAACAUAUCCUGUUUUCUAACUAAGUGACUAUUUGAUUACAUUAUACAAAAAAGUUGUAAAAAAUGCUACCCUAUAAAUUUCUAUAAAUCCUUAAAGCAGGGGAAGAGUGCUAGAAAAAUCUACCUCUAGGAGAGCCUUCAUAUAACUUUGCAGCCAGACAUGUCUUUCCUGCAUACAUUUGUAUUUUUCUCCUCUAUCAAAUCUGUGUUACAAAUCAUAUCAAGUAGACAUUUGGGGAAAGAUGAAUUCCAAUGACAAAAAAGGCAAAUUUUUCUGUUUUAGGAAAUGAUUGUUUAUUUCCCAAAUGGAUGACAGUGAAUGUCAUCAAGAACAGCAUUCGGUUACCUCACUCAGAAUGAUGCCCUCCAGGUCCAUUCAUUUGCCUAGGAAUUUCAUAAAUUCAUUCUUUUUAAUAGCUGAGUAGUACUCCAUUAUGUAAAUGUACCACAUUUUCUGUAUCCAUUCCUCUGUUGAGGGGCAUCUGGGUUCUUUCCAACUUCUGGCUAUUAUAAAUAAGGCUGCUAUGAACAGAGUAGAGCAUGUGUCCUUCUUACUGGUUAGAACAUCUUCUGGAUAUAUGCCCAGGAGAAGUAUUACGGGAUCCUCCGGUAGUACUAUGUCCAAUUUUCUGAGGAACCGCCAGACUGAUUUCCAGAGUGGUUGUACAAGCUUGCAAUUCUACCAACAAUGGAGGAGUGUUCCUCUUUCUCCACAUCCUUGCCAGCAUCUGCUGUCACCUGAAUUUUUGAUCUUAGCCAUUCUGACUG